Small nuclear RNA from Heterocephalus glaber (naked mole-rat), 156 nucleotides. Its record names the gene U2. It matches the Rfam family "U2 spliceosomal RNA". From Rfam's summary of the family: U2 is a small nuclear RNA (snRNA) component of the spliceosome (involved in pre-mRNA splicing). NCBI's taxonomy places the organism in Eukaryota, Metazoa, Chordata, Mammalia, Rodentia, Bathyergidae. The record is from Ensembl.
AUUGCUUCUCGGCCUUUUGGCUAAGAUCAAGUGUAGUAUCAAAAUACAAAACAAAACAAAAAAAAUCAGGAAUCUGGCUCUCUGGUGUACUUUCUCUCCUUAGGAGAGUCAGUAGCCCACUAGGACCUGCUUCUGGCUCACUAGGUCUCAACCUUU